This 481-nucleotide ribosomal RNA is filed under the name uncultured Sphingobacteriales bacterium. Its description in RNAcentral is "bacterial SSU rRNA". It matches the Rfam family "Bacterial small subunit ribosomal RNA", at positions 901 to 1382 of the family's 1533-position model. The record is from RNAcentral. Lineage: Bacteria; Pseudomonadati; Bacteroidota; Sphingobacteriia; Sphingobacteriales.
UUAAAGGAAUUGACGGGGGCCCGCACAAGCGGUGGAGCAUGUGGUUUAAUUCGAUGAUACGCGAGGAACCUUACCUGGGCUUAAAUGUAGAGUGCAUGGGGUAGAAAUAUCUCUUCCCUUCGGGGCUCUUUGCAAGGUGCUGCAUGGUUGUCGUCAGCUCGUGCCGUGAGGUGUCGGGUUAAGUCCCAUAACGAGCGCAACCCUUAUCGUUAGUUGCCAGCGGGUAAAGCCGGGAACUCUAGCGAAACUGCCGGUGUAAACCGAGAGGAAGGUGGGGAUGACGUCAAAUCAGCACGGCCCUUAUGUCCAGGGCUACACACGUGUUACAAUGGCCGGUACAGAGGGCAGCUACCUGGAGACAGGAUGCGAAUCUCGAAAGCCGGUCUCAGUUCGGAUCGGAGUCUGCAACCCGACUCCGUGAAGCUGGAUUCGCUAGUAAUCGCGCAUCAGCCAUGGCGCGGUGAAUACGUUCCCGGGCCUU